UACAGAGGUGGCAAGCGUUGUUCGGAAUUACUGGGCGUAAAGGGCGCGUAGGCGGUCUUGUAAGUCUUGUGUGAAAUCCCUCGGCUUAACUGAGGAACUGCACGGGAUACUGCGAGACUUGAGAUCGGGAGAGGGAAGCGGAAUUCCGGGUGUAGCGGUGAAAUGCGUAGAUAUCCGGAGGAACACCAGUGGCGAAGGCGACUACCUGGCCUGUUCUUGACGCUGAGGCGCGAAAGCUAGGGGAGCAAACGGG
Molecule: ribosomal RNA, 253 nt
Filed under: uncultured bacterium
Lineage: Bacteria
Description: partial 16S ribosomal RNA
Rfam family: Bacterial small subunit ribosomal RNA
Source: RNAcentral